UACGUAGGGUGCGAGCGUUGUCCGGAAUUAUUGGGCGUAAAGAGCUCGUAGGCGGUCCGUCACGUCGGAUGUGAAAUUCCAGGGCUCAACCCUGGACCUGCAUUCGAUACGGGCGGACUAGAGUUCGGUAGGGGAGACUGGAAUUCCUGGUGUAGCGGUGAAAUGCGCAGAUAUCAGGAGGAACACCGGUGGCGAAGGCGGGUCUCUGGGCCGAUACUGACGCUGAGGAGCGAAAGCGUGGGGAGCGAACAGG
Molecule: ribosomal RNA, 253 nt
Filed under: uncultured bacterium
Lineage: Bacteria
Description: partial 16S ribosomal RNA
Rfam family: Bacterial small subunit ribosomal RNA
Source: RNAcentral